This 384-nucleotide ribosomal RNA is filed under the name uncultured soil bacterium. RNAcentral's name for it is "bacterial SSU rRNA". It matches the Rfam family "Bacterial small subunit ribosomal RNA", at positions 26 to 397 of the family's 1533-position model. The record is from RNAcentral.
AGAUUGAACGCUGGCGGCAGGCCUAACACAUGCAAGUCGAGCGGCAGCACGGGUACUUGUACCUGGUGGCGAGCGGCGGACGGGUGAGUAAUGCCUAGGAAUCUGCCUGAUAGUGGGGGAUAACGCUUGGAAACGGACGCUAAUACCGCAUACGUCCUACGGGAGAAAGCAGGGGACCUUCGGGCCUUGCGCUAUCAGAUGAGCCUAGGUCGGAUUAGGCUAGUUGGUGGGGUAAUGGCGUCACCGAGGCGACGAUCCGUAACUGGUCUGAGAGGACGAUCAGUCACGACUGGAACUGACGACACGGUCCAGACUACCGUACGGGAGGUCAGCUAGGUGGGGUAAUUUUGGAACAGUGGGACGAAACGGCCUUAGACUCCGAGU